This 2889-nucleotide ribosomal RNA is filed under the name Klebsiella pneumoniae. RNAcentral's name for it is "23S ribosomal RNA". It matches the Rfam family "Bacterial large subunit ribosomal RNA". Lineage: Bacteria; Pseudomonadati; Pseudomonadota; Gammaproteobacteria; Enterobacterales; Enterobacteriaceae. The record is from RNAcentral.
UUAAGUGACUAAGCGUACACGGUGGAUGCCCUGGCAGUCAGAGGCGAUGAAGGACGUGCUAAUCUGCGAAAAGCGUCGGUAAGGUGAUAUGAACCGUUAUAACCGGCGAUGUCCGAAUGGGGAAACCCAGUGCAAUUCGUUGCACUAUCGUUAACUGAAUACAUAGGUUAACGAGGCGAACCGGGGGAACUGAAACAUCUAAGUACCCCGAGGAAAAGAAAUCAACCGAGAUUCCCCCAGUAGCGGCGAGCGAACGGGGAGCAGCCCAGAGUCUGAAUCAGCUUGUGUGUUAGUGGAACGGUCUGGAAAGUCCGACGGUACAGGGUGAUAGUCCCGUACACCAAAAUGCACAGGCUGUGAACUCGAAGAGUAGGGCGGGACACGUGGUAUCCUGUCUGAAUAUGGGGGGACCAUCCUCCAAGGCUAAAUACUCCUGACUGACCGAUAGUGAACCAGUACCGUGAGGGAAAGGCGAAAAGAACCCCGGCGAGGGGAGUGAAAAAGAACCUGAAACCGUGUACGUACAAGCAGUGGGAGCACCUUCGGGUGUGACUGCGUACCUUUUGUAUAAUGGGUCAGCGACUUAUAUUCUGUAGCAAGGUUAACCGUAUAGGGGAGCCGCAGGGAAACCGAGUCUUAACUGGGCGUUAAGUUGCAGGGUAUAGACCCGAAACCCGGUGAUCUAGCCAUGGGCAGGUUGAAGGUUGGGUAACACUAACUGGAGGACCGAACCGACUAAUGUUGAAAAAUUAGCGGAUGACUUGUGGCUGGGGGUGAAAGGCCAAUCAAACCGGGAGAUAGCUGGUUCUCCCCGAAAGCUAUUUAGGUAGCGCCUCGUGAACUCAUCUUCGGGGGUAGAGCACUGUUUCGGCUAGGGGGUCAUCCCGACUUACCAACCCGAUGCAAACUACGAAUACCGAAGAAUGUUAUCACGGGAGACACACGGCGGGUGCUAACGUCCGUCGUGAAGAGGGAAACAACCCAGACCGCCAGCUAAGGUCCCAAAGUCAUGGUUAAGUGGGAAACGAUGUGGGAAGGCACAGACAGCCAGGAUGUUGGCUUAGAAGCAGCCAUCAUUUAAAGAAAGCGUAAUAGCUCACUGGUCGAGUCGGCCUGCGCGGAAGAUGUAACGGGGCUAAACCAUGCACCGAAGCUGCGGCAGCGACACUAUGUGUUGUUGGGUAGGGGAGCGUUCUGUAAGCCUGCGAAGGUGNUGCUGGAGGUAUCAGAAGUGCGAAUGCUGACAUAAGUAACGAUAAAGCGGGUGAAAAGCCCGCUCGCCGGAAGACCAAGGGUUCCUGUCCAACGUUAAUCGGGGCAGGGUGAGUCGACCCCUAAGGCGAGGCCGAAAGGCGUAGUCGAUGGGAAACAGGUUAAUAUUCCUGUACUUGGUGUUACUGCGAAGGGGGGACGGAGAAGGCUAUGUUAGCCGGGCGACGGUUGUCCCGGUUUAAGCAUGUAGGCUGGUUAUCCAGGCAAAUCCGGAUAAUCAAGGCUGAGGUGUGAUGACGAGGCACUACGGUGCUGAAGUAACAAAUGCCCUGCUUCCAGGAAAAGCCUCUAAGCAUCAGGUAACAUCAAAUCGUACCCCAAACCGACACAGGUGGUCAGGUAGAGAAUACCAAGGCGCUUGAGAGAACUCGGGUGAAGGAACUAGGCAAAAUGGUGCCGUAACUUCGGGAGAAGGCACGCUGGUGUGUAGGUGAAGUCCCUGCGGAUGGAGCUGAGACCAGUCGAAGAUACCAGCUGGCUGCAACUGUUUAUUAAAAACACAGCACUGUGCAAACACGAAAGUGGACGUAUACGGUGUGACGCCUGCCCGGUGCCGGAAGGUUAAUUGAUGGGGUUAUCCGUAAGGAGAAGCUCUUGAUCGAAGCCCCGGUAAACGGCGGCCGUAACUAUAACGGUCCUAAGGUAGCGAAAUUCCUUGUCGGGUAAGUUCCGACCUGCACGAAUGGCGUAAUGAUGGCCAGGCUGUCUCCACCCGAGACUCAGUGAAAUUGAACUCGCUGUGAAGAUGCAGUGUACCCGCGGCAAGACGGAAAGACCCCGUGAACCUUUACUAUAGCUUGACACUGAACAUUGAGCCUUGAUGUGUAGGAUAGGUGGGAGGCUUUGAAGCGUGGACGCCAGUCUGCGUGGAGCCAACCUUGAAAUACCACCCUUUAAUGUUUGAUGUUCUAACGUUGGCCCCUGACCGGGGUUGCGGACAGUGUCUGGUGGGUAGUUUGACUGGGGCGGUCUCCUCCCAAAGCGUAACGGAGGAGCACGAAGGUUAGCUAAUCCUGGUCGGACAUCAGGAGGUUAGUGCAAUGGCAUAAGCUAGCUUGACUGCGAGCGUGACGGCGCGAGCAGGUGCGAAAGCAGGUCAUAGUGAUCCGGUGGUUCUGAAUGGAAGGGCCAUCGCUCAACGGAUAAAAGGUACUCCGGGGAUAACAGGCUGAUACCGCCCAAGAGUUCAUAUCGACGGCGGUGUUUGGCACCUCGAUGUCGGCUCAUCACAUCCUGGGGCUGAAGUAGGUCCCAAGGGUAUGGCUGUUCGCCAUUUAAAGUGGUACGCGAGCUGGGUUUAGAACGUCGUGAGACAGUUCGGUCCCUAUCUGCCGUGGGCGCUGGAGAAUUGAGGGGGGCUGCUCCUAGUACGAGAGGACCGGAGUGGACGCAUCACUGGUGUUCGGGUUGUCAUGCCAAUGGCACUGCCCGGUAGCUAAAUGCGGAAGAGAUAAGUGCUGAAAGCAUCUAAGCACGAAACUUGCCCCGAGAUGAGUUCUCCCUGAGACUUUAAGUCUCCUGAAGGAACGUUAAAGACGAUGACGUUGAUAGGCCGGGUGUGUAAGCGCAGCGAUGCGUUGAGCUAACCGGUACUAAUGAACCGUGAGGCUUAACCUU